UAAGCGCUGUAAGGCGUUGAGCUAACUGAUACUAAUGAUCCGUGUGGCUUGACCAUAUAACCUCA
RNAcentral lists this ribosomal RNA (65 nucleotides) under Pseudoxanthomonas sp. X-1. RNAcentral's name for it is "partial 23S ribosomal RNA". Lineage: Bacteria; Pseudomonadati; Pseudomonadota; Gammaproteobacteria; Lysobacterales; Lysobacteraceae. The record is from RNAcentral.